RNAcentral lists this ribosomal RNA (720 nucleotides) under Enterococcus faecalis. RNAcentral describes it as "bacterial SSU rRNA". It matches the Rfam family "Bacterial small subunit ribosomal RNA", at positions 1 to 692 of the family's 1533-position model. Lineage: Bacteria; Bacillati; Bacillota; Bacilli; Lactobacillales; Enterococcaceae. The record is from RNAcentral.
UAUUAUGAGAGUUUGAUCCUGGCUCAGGACGAACGCUGGCGGCGUGCCUAAUACAUGCAAGUCGAACGCUUCUUUCCUCCCGAGUGCUUGCACUCAAUUGGAAAGAGGAGUGGCGGACGGGUGAGUAACACGUGGGUAACCUACCCAUCAGAGGGGGAUAACACUUGGAAACAGGUGCUAAUACCGCAUAACAGUUUAUGCCGCAUGGCAUAAGAGUGAAAGGCGCUUUCGGGUGUCGCUGAUGGAUGGACCCGCGGUGCAUUAGCUAGUUGGUGAGGUAACGGCUCACCAAGGCCACGAUGCAUAGCCGACCUGAGAGGGUGAUCGGCCACACUGGGACUGAGACACGGCCCAGACUCCUACGGGAGGCAGCAGUAGGGAAUCUUCGGCAAUGGACGAAAGUCUGACCGAGCAACGCCGCGUGAGUGAAGAAGGUUUUCGGAUCGUAAAACUCUGUUGUUAGAGAAGAACAAGGACGUUAGUAACUGAACGUCCCCUGACGGUAUCUAACCAGAAAGCCACGGCUAACUACGUGCCAGCAGCCGCGGUAAUACGUAGGUGGCAAGCGUUGUCCGGAUUUAUUGGGCGUAAAGCGAGCGCAGGCGGUUUCUUAAGUCUGAUGUGAAAGCCCCCGGCUCAACCGGGGAGGGUCAUUGGAAACUGGGAGACUUGAGUGCAGAAGAGGAGAGUGGAAUUCCAUGUGUAGCGGUGAAAUGCGUA